This is a long non-coding RNA of Neofelis nebulosa (Clouded leopard), 1322 nucleotides long. RefSeq lists it as uncharacterized. The record is from RefSeq and is a predicted model, not a curated record. The transcript is spliced from 3 exons. NCBI's taxonomy places the organism in Eukaryota, Metazoa, Chordata, Mammalia, Carnivora, Felidae.
UCUCCCCUCCAGAAUCCUGGCGAUGCUUCCUGAGCCUGUGAGAAAACCGGCUGGCUUUGCAUGCACACAGAGGCAAAGCCAAGAUUUUGUGAGCCUGGGGUAAGAUUCUCAGCCCUGGACAUCACUGCAAGGGAGCUCCUGUGCAUGCGAUUGCUCCUGUGCAUGCGAUUAUAAACUGCAAAUGUGACUGGGACCAAAGGAGUUACCUCAGGAGCUGGUGUAGAGUCUACCCAUCUUUCGAUUUGGGGAAAGGGGAGAUGAAAAGUCAUUUCUCCUUUCUCUGGAUUCAUGCAAUCCGUUAACUGUAAUUGUCUCUCCCUGCUUGCUCCAGUUGUUGAUGUAUUGCCUCUCGGUUCCAAGCGCACCCACCCUUUUUUGUCUUGCUUUGUCCUCCUGAAGCCGAACUCUGCGCCUUGCAGUUCUCCUUAAUGGCCGCCUGCCUGGUACACUCUACCAAUAGAGGGCGCCGUGAAGCGGGAGGUAGAAGAAGGUGCGCUCCGUUCUGUUUCCCCAACAGUUGCUAGCAAAUCUGGGUGCAGAGGAUCCCAGCAGUUUUCCCUGCAGUGGUGGCAGCUCUCAGUGUCCUGGGGUGCUUGAUAGGAUUGACCCCAUGACCAGACCCUGCCAAUGAAUUGUGAGAGGAAAUGAGAGUGCUACUUUUGGGCACAAUGAUGAGUUGCUAGAAUGGGACACUCCUGAAUGCUCUCUUCCUGUGCCACAAGGAGCAGCCAUGUUCCAGGUGAUGGCCGCUCUGCCAGUGUAGAUCCUGCAGAGAUGACAUGGGGUAGAUCCCCCAGUUGACUCACGAGAGACCAAGCAAGAAAUACAGAUUUGUUGUGUUAAUCCACUGAGAUUGUGGGGGGUCACCAUGAAGCACAACCGAUCCUUUCUUGGCACAAAGAUCAGACAUGAGAAUCACGUGCAAUUAUAAACAUUGGAUGGAGAGGUUCUGACAACAUUAAAGCACUCUACCCAAAGAAGGAAUUAGCAUCCCUGAAUUAGCAGGUUUGGGAGUGAUACACUCCUGUCUCAACUGGAACAGUCCAAGAGGUAGCUUCCUGCAACAUCUCCAGCUCUGAUUCCUGCUCAAGGUUAUGCUCCUGAUGGUUGCGCUGCUGGAAAGGUGAGACAAACCACCUGGGGUUGAAAGUGCUUCAGAGCCGCCAAGGAUGGGAUGGGCUUUCCAAAUGGCUUCUUCAGUUGAGCUGAAGGCCCAGAAUGUAAUGUUUGUUUAUGUGCCAUGCCAGUUUAGACUGUCCUGAAAGUGUGUGUAUGUGUAUAUGAGGGUGUGAGAGAGAAUACACACAUGCGUUUAACUUGCA